RNAcentral lists this ribosomal RNA (268 nucleotides) under uncultured Methanolinea sp. RNAcentral describes it as "partial 16S ribosomal RNA". It matches the Rfam family "Archaeal small subunit ribosomal RNA", at positions 138 to 411 of the family's 1478-position model. Lineage: Archaea; Methanobacteriati; Methanobacteriota; Methanomicrobia; Methanomicrobiales; Methanoregulaceae. The record is from RNAcentral.
AACUGGGGAUAAUACCCCAUAGAUCAGGGACGCUGGAAUGCCCCCUGAUUCAAAGGUCCGCCGCCUGAGGAUGGGUCUGCGGCCGAUUAGGUUGUUGUUGGGGUAACGGCCCAACAAGCCAUUGAUCGGUACGGGUUGUGAGAGCAAGAGCCCGGAGAUGGAUUCUGAGACACGAAUCCAGGCCCUACGGGGCGCAGCAGGCGCGAAAACUUUACAAUGCGAGAAAUCGUGAUAAGGGAACCCCGAGUGCCCGUAAAUUCGGGCUGUC